RNAcentral lists this small RNA (361 nucleotides) under Pan troglodytes (chimpanzee). Its description in RNAcentral is "processed transcript". The record is from RNAcentral. Lineage: Eukaryota; Metazoa; Chordata; Mammalia; Primates; Hominidae.
GUAGUGUGGUAGGACCCCGGCGGGUGUGGCAGCAACUGCCCUGGAGCCCCAGCCCCUGCGUCCAUCUGUGCUGUGCGCCCCACAGUAGACGUGCAGACGUCCCUGAGAGCAGCGAUGACCUCUGGGGUCACUGUCCCAGGAGGGACUUCACCUGGAACGAGAGCUGGAGGCAGCCGCUUGCCCAGGAGGCUUGUCCCCUGAGGCGCUUCGCCAGUGAGGUGCGGGCUCAGGGCCUCGAGUCUCUCCUGGAGCACGGGCUGCGGUGCGCUGGCAGCUUACGGGGCGGCCAGUCCUUGCCCACAACGAUGUGGAGCCCUGUGAAAGUCGGAUUCGAAUAAAGGGCCACGUGUGCACCCAGAAA